GUAGGCAGCAAGCGUUGUUCGGAGUUACUGGGCGUAAAGGGUGUGUAGGCGGUUCCUUAAGUUUGCUGUGAAAUCUCCCGGCUUAACCGGGAGGGUGCGGUGAAUACUGAGGGACUAGAGUACGGGAGAGGAAAGUGGAAUUCCUGGUGUAGCGGUGAAAUGCGUAGAUAUCAGGAGGAACACCGGUGGUGUAGACGGCUUUCUGGACCGUAACUGACGCUGAGACACGAAAGCGUGGGUAGCAAACAGGAUUAGAUACCCUGGUAGUCCACGCCCUAAACGAUGCAUAUUUGGUGUGGGCAGUUCAUUCUGUCCGUGCCGGAGCUAACGCGUUAAAUAUGCCGCCUGGGGAGUACAGUCGCAAGGCUG
This 369-nucleotide ribosomal RNA is filed under the name uncultured bacterium. Its description in RNAcentral is "bacterial SSU rRNA". It matches the Rfam family "Bacterial small subunit ribosomal RNA", at positions 527 to 896 of the family's 1533-position model. The record is from RNAcentral.